RNAcentral lists this ribosomal RNA (433 nucleotides) under uncultured bacterium. RNAcentral describes it as "partial 16S ribosomal RNA". It matches the Rfam family "Bacterial small subunit ribosomal RNA", at positions 29 to 507 of the family's 1533-position model. The record is from RNAcentral.
AACGAACGCUGGCGGCAGGCCUAACACAUGCAAGUCGAGCGAGAUCUUCGGGUCUAGCGGCGGACGGGUGAGUAACGCGUGGGAAUAUGCCUCUUGGUACGGAAUAGCCUCGGGAAACUGGGAGAAAUACCGUAUGUGCCCUUUGGGGGAAAGAUUUAUCGCCAAGAGAUUAGCCCGCGUUGGAUUAGGUAGUUGGUGGGGUAAUGGCCUACCAAGCCGACGAUCCAUAGCUGGUUUGAGAGGAUGAUCAGCCACACUGGGACUGAGACACGGCCCAGACUACUACGGGAGGCAGCAGUGGGGAAUCUUAGACAAUGGGGGCAACCCUGAUCUAGCCAUGCCGCGUGAGUGAUGAAGGCCUUAGGGUUGUAAAGCUCUUUCAGCUGGGAAGAUAAUGACGGUACCAGCAGAAGAAGCCCCGGCUAACUCCGUG